RNAcentral lists this ribosomal RNA (484 nucleotides) under uncultured bacterium. RNAcentral's name for it is "partial 16S ribosomal RNA". It matches the Rfam family "Bacterial small subunit ribosomal RNA", at positions 28 to 507 of the family's 1533-position model. The record is from RNAcentral.
AUUGAACGCUGGCGGCAUGCUUUACACAUGCCAGUCGAACGGCAGCGCGGGCUUCGGCCUGGCGGCGAGUGGCGAACGGGUGAGUAAUGCAUCGGAACGUGCCCAGUAGUGGGGGAUAGCCCGGCGAAAGCCGGAUUAAUACCGCAUACGACCUGAGGGUGAAAGCGGGGGACCGAAAGGCCUCGCGCUAUUGGAGCGGCCGAUGUCGGAUUAGCUAGUUGGUGGGGUAAAGGCUUACCAAGGCGACGAUCCGUAGCUGGUCUGAGAGGACGACCAGCCACACGGGGACUGAGACACGGCCCAGACUCCUACGGGAGGCAGCAGUGGGGAAUGUUGGACAAUGGGGGCAACCCUGAUCCAGCCAUGCCGCGUGCGGGAAGAAGGCCUUCGGGUUGUAAACCGCUUUUGUUCGGGAAGAAAUCCUCUGGGCUAAUACCCCGGGGGGAUGACGGUACCGGAAGAAUAAGCACCGGCUAACUACGUG